This 275-nucleotide long non-coding RNA is filed under the name Gossypium barbadense (sea-island cotton). RNAcentral describes it as "long non-coding RNA (GBAR_LNC005641)". Lineage: Eukaryota; Viridiplantae; Streptophyta; Magnoliopsida; Malvales; Malvaceae. The record is from RNAcentral.
AAAAAGUCUAUAUAUUUUAGUGGUUCCUGUGAAACAAAAAAAAUGUGGUUAAAAAAGUUGUUGUUCAUAGGGUAGGGGGUCAUGACCAAUUGGUCAUUUUGGCGACAAGCAUCAGGUCAGUUCUUAGCUUACCUGGUACCCUUAUAUAUGAUACUGGUCUCCCCUCUCACAUGCACACACAAUUCAAUAUUUAAGUGAAGUAGAGUGAAAAAGAAAGUUGGCUAUCUCACAUACACACAAUUUAGUAUUGAGUGAAGUAGAGUGAUGUAACACCC